AGGCGAGGGUUUCCCCGCGGUCUGGGGUUUGAGAUGCGAUGAGGGCGCUCAGGGGCGGAGGGAAGCUGCCUGGCAUCAGUGGGUUGCGGGCCUCCCCCAGCAGCCAAAAACAUGUGUGUGCGUGCAGGCUGCUGUGCCUUACACCCAACCUCGUGCCGUUGUUGGUGACUGAGGCGCCUUACCGGAGGAGCCCGGGAUCCCCGAGUGCAUCAGUCCCGAAAUAAGGGAGAACAGCAGCAUCGCUCCCGGCCACCAAAGAAUUUCUCGAAGCGGGCCCCUUGGCGUUAUCACUGCUUAAUGCGAACGUUCCUUUCAAGAAGAAAGCAGCAGAGGCAAGGCGCUUGCCGCUAGUUCAUUGUUACCGUGGACACGGUUCCAAGCGGUUCUAUUUUUAUCGAUACAAAAGAAAACGCUGAAAAUUGAGAGCUGACCUUGAAAAAGAGAAGAGCAUGGUGAGACGGGCACCGCUCCAUCGGACUAAAGCAGAUCUUUACAUGUUUAAAGCCCUUCGUCAAGGUUAUGGCGUUAUUCCAAAUGGUAAAACGCGGCUAUUUCGCUUCUCACUGCCGCAAGAAAAUAGACACCUCCACUUUUCCUUCUCUAGAAUAACGUUUUAAAAGAACCUAAAGCAUCACAACGUUUUUUAUUUUUAUUUUGCUUUCCCGAUUCAACGCUGAGAGUUUACAAACGAUCAAGUGUUGGAAAACCUAUCGGAAACAGUGUGGCCACAUUACGACAAAGCAGUAACCUGGCGCUUGCAAAACGGUGACAGUUGCAAAGUUGAUUUUUUUUUUCUUUUUUCUUUUCCCCCCUUCUCCUUUGUUUCCUAUCCUUUAAAAAUAAACCUUUCGAAAAAUAAAACAAAUAAUAAUCCCAAAUGCUUCCGCAGUAACUGCUAGUCCCCUUUCUCUAUUGCAAGAAGCCCUGUCCGCUAAUAGGAAGCUCAUUUAAUUAUUUUCAUUCUAAUCUCUUUAAUCCCCCCCCCCCCCCGCCCCCCUCUGCUAAGAGUAAAUGACGCUAAUGGGACCCAUGUGGAGGAGCCCCGGGGUGGCGGCGCAGCUCCUCCCGGCCCCGUGCCCGGGCAGGUGGAGCCGGCGGGGCGGAG
This is a long non-coding RNA of Lagopus muta (rock ptarmigan), 1105 nucleotides long. RefSeq lists it as uncharacterized. The transcript has 3 exons. Lineage: Eukaryota; Metazoa; Chordata; Aves; Galliformes; Phasianidae. The record is from RefSeq and is a predicted model, not a curated record.